CCCGUUGAGUUUAAGCAUAUCAAUAAGCAAAGGAAAAGAAACUUACAAGGAUUCCCUUAGUAACGGCGAGCAAACCGGGAACAUACCAGGCUUAGAAUCGGGCGGCUCCGUCGUCCGAAUUGUAGUUUGGAGAAGCGUCUUUAGCGGCGGACCGGGACCAAGUCCCCUGGAAGGGAGCACCACAGAGGGUGAGAGCCCCGUUGUACCCGAAUCCUAUCGCACCACGAGAUGAUGUCUACGAGUUGGGUUGUUUGGGAAUGCAACCCAAAUCGGGAGGUGAAUUCCUUCCAGGCUAAAUACGGGCGAGAGACCGCUAGAAAACAAGUACCACGAGGGAAAGAUGAAAAGGACUUUGAAAAGAGAGUGAAAAGUGCUUGAAAUUGUCGAGAGGGAAGCGGAUGGGGGCCGGCGAUGUGCCUCGGUCGAAUGUGGAACGGUGAUGAGCCGGUCCGCCGAUUCACUCGAGGCGUGGAUCAACGUGGAUUUGGGGGGGGGGGGGGGGAGCCCGGGCUNNNNNNNNNNNNNNNNNNNNNGUCGGUAGAACGCCGUCUUCUUGAUUGUGGUAGGCAACACGCACCCCUGGCAUUCUUUGGCAUUUGCGCGCUCUACAUACUGGCUUGUGGGUUCCCCAUUCGACUCGUCUUGAAACACAA
This 653-nucleotide ribosomal RNA is filed under the name Solanum tuberosum (potato). RNAcentral's name for it is "rRNA LSU_rRNA_eukarya". It matches the Rfam family "Eukaryotic large subunit ribosomal RNA", at positions 24 to 664 of the family's 3401-position model. Lineage: Eukaryota; Viridiplantae; Streptophyta; Magnoliopsida; Solanales; Solanaceae. The record is from Rfam by way of RNAcentral.